UCAUCUUGGCAUCAUGUUCUCCUCCUCCACCAGUCUUACACACUGCUUUUGGAUAACUUUAUGCUGCUUUACUCCUGGCGCAAAAAUAAUUCAAGCAGUUCAGUUUGGUGGUUUGAUGGUUUGUGAUCAUCCAUCUUCCUCUUGAUUAUAUUUUAGAGUAUUUUAAAUUGGUAAAAUCAAAGAAACUCAUCAUUUUUAAGUGGUAUCUUAUUUUUUUCAGAGCUGUGUAUAUAUAAAUAUAAAUAUAUAUUUAAUACUCAGGGUGGCUAAUAGUAUGAAACAUGCUUUAAGGAAACACCUACAGUAAAAUAUUAAAUACUAAUUUUUUAUGUUUAGAUUAGGUUCUGUUCUUGGCAGCAGGGUUCUGGUUCAGACCCUUGUUUUUCUCCUCCUUUUUGGGUCCGUAAUGGAAAAGAGGAGAAAAGACACACAGUCAGUCAGUCAGUGCACCCAAACCUUUUUUUUUUUUUUUUUUGCAUAAUUUAUUUUUUUUUGUUCCUUGUGUUUAUUUAAUAAAAAAAGCAGCUUGAGUUUGCUAGUUAGGAAAGAUGUGGACAGAAGAAAAUCCAUAAGUUUAUUCUGUAGCUUCUUCCUGUAACAGGGAUGAAUGUUUUUCCACCUGUUUUAUGGAUUUAUUAUUUUUUUAUCUUAACAUUUGAAAAUAAAGUACUUCAUGUCUGUUUAUCUUGAGCAAUGUAAAUGGUUAUUGUGAUUCAAUUUACAUUUGAAACUUGUCAAGUAAUGUGUAUGGUUUUUAAGAAUAAAAAAAUUGAUAUUUAGCCUAA
Long non-coding RNA from Astyanax mexicanus (Mexican tetra), 785 nucleotides. RefSeq lists it as uncharacterized. The record is from RefSeq and is a predicted model, not a curated record. The transcript has 2 exons. NCBI's taxonomy places the organism in Eukaryota, Metazoa, Chordata, Actinopteri, Characiformes, Acestrorhamphidae.